UAAUCGAUGCUCCCAGUCCCAAUACCGCACUGCCGACAUACAGCAAAACUGUCGAUGGGAAUAUAAACGUUAAGGCUCCCACUACCAUGGCCGCACGAGGUCCGGUAAAUGAGAUAAAGGACGGCGCCAACCAAUUGGACAGGGAGAAAAAUAAAUAUAUAAUGGCCAGGCUUGUGUAGCCUUCUCCUUUAAAUGUGUCAUCUUCUUGAGCAAUGCUAUCCAAAAUGGUUUUCUAAAAAAGGAAAAUGAGAAGACAAAAGUAUUUAGUUAAAACUUAAAUCAUUAGGCAGACUUUUUAUCGAAAAUUUCUUUGUACUUUCUGUAUCUUAUAUAGAAUAAUAUCACAAUUACAUAGGUUAAGUUCUUUC
Drosophila willistoni is the source of this 368-nucleotide long non-coding RNA. RefSeq lists it as uncharacterized. The record is from RefSeq and is a predicted model, not a curated record. The transcript has 2 exons. NCBI's taxonomy places the organism in Eukaryota, Metazoa, Arthropoda, Insecta, Diptera, Drosophilidae.